This 478-nucleotide ribosomal RNA is filed under the name uncultured bacterium. RNAcentral's name for it is "partial 16S ribosomal RNA". It matches the Rfam family "Bacterial small subunit ribosomal RNA", at positions 28 to 507 of the family's 1533-position model. The record is from RNAcentral.
GACGAACGCUGGCGGCGUGCUUAACACAUGCAAGUCGAACGGGAAUGAGUAGACAGAAGGCUGUGCUAGAGAUUCCUAAUGAGGGGUGCGAAGGGGGGAGUAAGGCCUGAGCAACGUGCCUAUGACAGUGGGAUAGCGCUGGGACACGGGGAGUAAUACCGCAUCAAAUCGUAGGAAGACAUGUUUCAACGGUUGAGGAUUUACGGGUCAUAGAUGGGCUCGCGUCUGGUUAGCUAGUUGGUGAGAUAACAGCCCACCAAGGGGACGAUCAGUAGCCGGGCUGAGAGGAUGAACCGCCACAUUGGAACUGAGACACGGUCCAAACUCCUACGGGAGGCAGCAGUGGGGAAUAUUGCACAAUGGGGGCAACCCUGAUGCAGCGACGCCGCGUGAACGAAGAAUGUAUUCGUAUCGUAAAGUUCUGUCCUAUGGGAAGAUAAUGACAGUACCAUAGAAGAAAGCUCCGGCUAAAUACGUG